Molecule: ribosomal RNA, 484 nt
Filed under: uncultured bacterium
Lineage: Bacteria
Description: partial 16S ribosomal RNA
Rfam family: Bacterial small subunit ribosomal RNA
Source: RNAcentral
AUUGAACGCUGGCGGCAGGCCUAACACAUGCAAGUCGAGCGGUAGAGAGAAGCUUGCUUCUCUUGAGAGCGGCGGACGGGUGAGUAAUGCCUAGGAAUCUGCCUGGUAGUGGGGGAUAACGUUCGGAAACGGACGCUAAUACCGCAUACGUCCUACGGGAGAAACCCGGGGACCUUCGGGCCUUGCGCUUCCAGAUGAGCCUAGGUCGGAUUAGCUAGUUGGUGGGGUAAUGGCUCACCAAGGCGACGAUCCGUAACUGGUCUGAGAGGAUGAUCAGUCACACUGGAACUGAGACACGGUCCAGACUCCUACGGGAGGCAGCAGUGGGGAAUAUUGGACAAUGGGCGAAAGCCUGAUCCAGCCAUGCCGCGUGUGUGAAGAAGGUCUUCGGAUUGUAAAGCACUUUAAGUUGGGAGGAAGGGCAGUAAAUUAAUACUUUGCUGUUUUGACGUUACCGACAGAAUAAGCACCGGCUAACUCUGUG